UUGCCUCCUCUCUUUUUGUUGCAAGCCUUGGACUCAAGUCCGAUGCUCAGUCAGGACAGCUUGGUGUUGAAGACAACUUCUUGAACGGUUGCAACCUUUUUUGCGUGGUUGGGCCAACACGAUUUGGCAUGAGCUAAGAUGUUUUGCAGGAAGCGUCUUACCAUGGAAACAUAUGACUCAGUGGUUGAGUACAACCAAAAUAGCCACAACUAACGCCACAGACACAGCUAUAACUUUCCCAAACAAACCCCAAGUGUGCAAUGUAAUUUGGCUCAUUUCUGUCUUUAGCCUUGUUGCAUUUGGAGGAGCACUGAAGCUAUGAAGCUAUGCUAGGAGCCUUACUGGCUGAGGCAUCAAGACUUCUUAUGAUUGAAAGUCGUUUGUGGUUCGUGUGAACUUCUCCGUGAUAAUUUUGCAAGCAUUUGCUCAAUUGCAUGAAUAAUCAUCAUAUAGGUAGCUCCGUUGUUGCUGGAGAAUGAGCCAAAUUUUGUGGAUAAAGAUGCUCAACUGGGGGUGGAAUUUGAGUUGGAACAUGGAGAUACAAUGCCGAGGAUCCUGCCAGUGGUAAAGCAGGAAGCAAAGUUCUCUUGGAAAGGAUGCAGAAAUGAUGUGCUGGUCCUACCAAGCAUGAUCAGCAGAUGCAUUGAGUGCAGCUUCUCAAUGAUUUCCGGUGGAAUGGGCUGCUCUUCUUUGUUUUGAGGAAGGUGGGGAAGGAAGGGGUCGGGCUUUCAGUGUACAUCUUUCCUUUUCUUUCUUUCUUUCUUUAUUUUUUGGCUUGAACUCUCGAUCUAAACAUCUCAUGGUUGGUUUAAGCUGGCUGUCCUUGUAAGGAAGGAUCAUUUCAUAAAGAAUACCAUUUGCCAAGCAAAGACAGACUGAUUAUAAGGUAAAAAAGUAAUUGUUAGAAUCCUGAAAGAGAUCCCAGGUAGUGGCCAGAUCCUGUACGCAAAGAAGUGCAUGGAUGUGGAUCCCAUCUGCCUCUGGAAACGGGAGAAUCUGAGACAUGCGAGUCAGCGUAUUCUGAAAGAACCCCCCAUGCAAUGUAAGGUUUUAGUUUGUGCAAUUUGACAGUUGAACAAUGAAUAGGCAUCAGCUCUUUCUGUAUUCUGACUCAAGAAAUUGGAGAGCACUAGCUUUCUUUUCUGAUAGUUCUUUAUUUCUGACAGGGGCAUCUCUACUUUUGUCAACCUAGUAUUUCUACUUAGUAGGGGCCAAAAGGAAAAAGAAACUUCCUCUCGGAACAGUCUGUUAUACUGCCAGCUCGUCACUGUCAGAAUGCAUCAAUUGUUACAGCUUUUUACAUGACAUUAGCUCAUAAAAGCACACAUCAAACAAUACAUUCCCUCUGAAUCCCAAGGAAAGAAACGGAUUUGUGUUAGUGCAUGAAUGGCUUCUAGAUAGCAGCAGAUCACUGUCACUCUUCUUCUGGUUCUUCCUCUUCCUGGAGAAGAUUUUCUCUAUUAUCAUGUGCCCAAAAA
Long non-coding RNA from Populus trichocarpa (black cottonwood), 1478 nucleotides. RefSeq lists it as uncharacterized. The transcript has 2 exons. NCBI's taxonomy places the organism in Eukaryota, Viridiplantae, Streptophyta, Magnoliopsida, Malpighiales, Salicaceae. The record is from RefSeq and is a predicted model, not a curated record.